GACGAACGCUGGCGGCGUGCUUAACACGUGCAAGUCGAACGGGGAUCGUCAGUGUAGCAAUACAUCGGCGGUCCUAGUGGCCCACGGGUGAGUAACACGUGGGUAACCUGCCCUUGAGUUCGGGAGUACCCUCUCGAAAGGGAGGCUAAUACCGGAUACGUUCCUCGGAUUGCGAAGUCUGGGGAGGAAAGGUGGCGCAAGCUGCCGCUCUUGGAGGGGCUCGCGGCCUAUCAGCUAGUUGGGAGGU
RNAcentral lists this ribosomal RNA (247 nucleotides) under uncultured bacterium. Its description in RNAcentral is "partial 16S ribosomal RNA". It matches the Rfam family "Bacterial small subunit ribosomal RNA", at positions 28 to 257 of the family's 1533-position model. The record is from RNAcentral.